RNAcentral lists this small RNA (895 nucleotides) under Histoplasma capsulatum var. duboisii H88. Its description in RNAcentral is "Histoplasma capsulatum H88 hypothetical RNA". Lineage: Eukaryota; Fungi; Ascomycota; Eurotiomycetes; Onygenales; Ajellomycetaceae. The record is from RNAcentral.
AUGCCCGGUGGUGUAGCAGUUAACUACGCUGCCAGGUGUCCCAGAAGGGGCGCGGGUUCGAAUCCCGCAGGGCUCACUUAACCAAUUUCCACUGUUAAAUCACCAAACAGUACCAGAAGUCCCCGGGUUCGGAGGCAUUCGGGCACUAAUUCUCACUGAUCUUGUGGGGCUAGAACCCCCCAGGCACUUCAAGUUAGAUCAGUGCUGGGUAGAUUAGUGGGAUGGUGGUGGGGUAGUGGGUGGAGCAACCUGCAGGAUAGCAAAUCAUCAUCAAGCUUAACUGGCCAGAGAUUCAUUGCACUGCCCCAUUCAGCCCCACUAAUCUAUCUAGGCACUCCUAAAUUCCAGGGAAUAGAUUUAAUCACUAUCCAAUUAGAACACCCCAGGCCUAGUGAGGACCUAGGUGAGAUGAGGCCUAGACAUUCUUAAUAGGUGGUUAGUGCAAGCAAGGCUGUGAUGGUCAAUUGGUAGGCUGGAAUGCUGAGAUUGACAGCUGGAAGAUUGAGAGAUUUAACUAGAAUUGGAUAGCUCUGGUGAUAUUCUUAGUGAGGAUCCCACUUAGAGAGGCUAGUUAAGGAUCCCAGGUGGGCAGUGGCACCCUAGGGGGAAUGAUAACCCCUAAUGAUGGCCUGAGAGGACAGAGACAGCAGCUGGUUAUAUAGGGUGUUAAGAUAUGUAUAUAGCUCAAGGUGUAAACUGCAGAGGUUUGUUCUAUAGUAUUAUUUAUAUCUUUCAUUUAUUGAUUUGAAAAGCUUGUCUGGAGUGAAUUUUGUAAUAAGUCUCUUUAAUUGUUGAUUGAUUCUGGGUUGGAAUUCUGUAUUGCAAGCUAUUAGUACUAGAAAAACCUUGAGCAAUACUCAGAUGAGUGUCAUAGUCUCUGACUGAAUAUGCCCUA